GAUAAGGAGAGGUUUACAAGAUUUACACGUAUAAUCUAUCACAAUUAUAAGGUGUUACUCAUUUUUUUCCUCUCUACACUUUUAAACAUGUUUAAUUAAGGUAUCGUAGAAAACGAAGGUUGUCUCCAAUGACACUUGGAUCUUGAGGGUCUUUGGUUUUUGAGCUUCAACAGGGUCAGGUCUCUCUCUUCAGGAACAUUAGGUCCUUCCUCCAAGAAUACCACUUGCCUUGUAGUUGCCUAGUUUGGGUACAAAUGAACAUACUACACUUAAUUAACAAUACUACUUUAUUGAUAUGCAAAACACAAGUAUAAAUAAUUCAUUGAGUGUUUUUGCGGUGUACUUUAUUCCAUGUGUUCAUCUCAGAGUUCCCCAGUAGCAAGCCG
RNAcentral lists this long non-coding RNA (386 nucleotides) under Vigna radiata. Its description in RNAcentral is "long non-coding RNA (VRAD_LNC017275)". Lineage: Eukaryota; Viridiplantae; Streptophyta; Magnoliopsida; Fabales; Fabaceae. The record is from RNAcentral.